This 497-nucleotide ribosomal RNA is filed under the name uncultured bacterium. RNAcentral's name for it is "partial 16S ribosomal RNA". It matches the Rfam family "Bacterial small subunit ribosomal RNA", at positions 28 to 507 of the family's 1533-position model. The record is from RNAcentral.
GAUGAACGCUGGCGGCGUGCCUAAUACAUGCAAGUCGAGCGAACGGGCGAGAAGCUUGCUUCUCUGAUGUUAGCGGCGGACGGGUGAGUAACACGUGGAUAACCUACCUAUAAGACUGGGAUAACUUCGUGAAACCGGAGCUAAUACCGGAUGAUAUUUUGAACCGCAUGGUUCAAAAGUGAAAGACGGUCUUGCUGUCACUUAUAGAUGGAUCCGCGCUGCAUUAGCUAGUUGGUAAGGUAACGGCUUACCAAGGCAACGAUGCAUAGCCGACCUGAGAGGGUGAUCGGCCACACUGGAACUGAGACACGGUCCAGACUCCUACGGGAGGCAGCAGUAGGGAAUCUUCCGCAAUGGGCGAAAGCCUGACGGAGCAACGCCGCGUGAGUGAUGAAGGUCUUCGGAUCGUAAAACUCUGUUAUUAGGGAAGAACAUAUGUGUAAGUAACUGUGCACAUCUUGACGGUACCUAAUCAGAAAGCCACGGCUAACUACGUG